GCCCGGAUAGCUCAGCUGGUAGAGCACGUCCAUGGUAAGGACGGGGUCAGGGGUUCGAGUCCCCUUCCGGGCU
RNAcentral lists this transfer RNA (73 nucleotides) under Conexibacter sp. RNAcentral describes it as "tRNA-Thr". It matches the Rfam family "tRNA". From Rfam's summary of the family: Transfer RNA (tRNA) molecules are approximately 80 nucleotides in length. Their secondary structure includes four short double-helical elements and three loops (D, anti-codon, and T loops). RNAcentral also lists the same sequence under 2 other names. The record is from RNAcentral. Lineage: Bacteria; Bacillati; Actinomycetota; Thermoleophilia; Solirubrobacterales; Conexibacteraceae.